GUUGUUCGGAAUUACUGGGCGUAAAGGGCUCGUAGGCGGCCAACUAAGUCAGACGUGAAAUCCCCAGGCUCAACCUGGGAACUGCGUCUGAUACUGGAUGGCUUGAAUCCGGGAGAGGGAUGCAGAAUUCCAGGUGUAGCGGUGAAAUGCGUAGAUAUCUGGAGGAACACCAAUGGCGAAGGCAGCUCGCUGGGACGGUACUGACGCUGAGACGCGAAAGCGUGGGGAGCAAACAGG
RNAcentral lists this ribosomal RNA (237 nucleotides) under uncultured bacterium. RNAcentral describes it as "partial 16S ribosomal RNA". It matches the Rfam family "Bacterial small subunit ribosomal RNA", at positions 540 to 776 of the family's 1533-position model. The record is from RNAcentral.